GCAGCGCUCCCUCCCCCCUUUAUUAGGCCGUUAAGCUAGGUGGAGGAUCGAUUUCCCACUGAAUGAACCGUCGAUGUUGACUAGGUUAUGUACGCACGGAUGAGGCUGAUAAUCCAGGCAGCAGCACUGAUUAGUGUGAUUCAGGCAUGGGUCAUGUUCAUGCACCAAAGAGCUGUUCGUCGUGCUGGGAGACCUUUGGUCCGCUAUGGUCCAUUGUUUCCCCGGGAACAGGAGAGUAUCCAAAAUCUAAACUACAUCUACAACUGCAAUGACGUCGAGGCUUUGUGGAUGCUUAGAAUGAAAAGAGCACCAUUUGCCAGGCUUGUCGAGACCUUCAGGAGCAGGGGCCUGUUACAAGAUAGCAUCAACACUAGUGUCGAAGAGCAAGUGGUCAUGUUCCUCCAUGUUGUUGGCCAUAACCAGAGGUUCUGGGUCAUUCACAACACGUUCAGGGGAUCAAUGGAGACCAUCUCUAGGUACUUCAAGCAAGUGCUUUUUGCUGUUGGGGAGCUUAGAGGAGAGAUGAUCAGGAGACCAUCUGGCCAGACUCCACCCAAGAUUCGCGGAACCCAAGAUGGUAUCCUACUUCAAGGUGAGCAUUGA
This 603-nucleotide ribosomal RNA is filed under the name Triticum aestivum (bread wheat). RNAcentral's name for it is "partial small subunit ribosomal RNA". Lineage: Eukaryota; Viridiplantae; Streptophyta; Magnoliopsida; Poales; Poaceae. The record is from RNAcentral.